CAAACCUGCCUUAAGGAUGGGGAUAACAGACGGAAACGACUGCUAAUACCGAAUACGUUCUAAGCAUCGCAUGGUGCAUAGAAGAAAGGGUGGCCUCUACAAGAAAGCUAUCGCCUUAAGAGGGGUUUGCGACUGAUUAGGUAGUUGGUGAGGUAACGGCUCACCAAGCCGACGAUCAGUAGCCGGUCUGAGAGGAUGAGCGGCCACACUGGAACUGAGACACGGUCCAG
RNAcentral lists this ribosomal RNA (230 nucleotides) under uncultured bacterium. RNAcentral's name for it is "partial 16S ribosomal RNA". It matches the Rfam family "Bacterial small subunit ribosomal RNA", at positions 121 to 334 of the family's 1533-position model. The record is from RNAcentral.